Molecule: long non-coding RNA, 1409 nt
Organism: Sabethes cyaneus
Lineage: Eukaryota; Metazoa; Arthropoda; Insecta; Diptera; Culicidae
Exons: 4
Source: RefSeq, a predicted model, not a curated record
UGGCGAAAACAGCGAAGCUGCUCCAUUCAGAAGUGUGCGCGUUCAACGAAUGAUAUCCCGCCGCGUCUAAAACAGACAUCGUGCGGCACUUUGUGGAUACCGGAUGCGCCGGUUCCGGCAUAGGCGUCUUUCUUACAGCGAACAAAACACCGUCUCGUAAUCAGCACCACCAUCAUCGGAUCCGCAGCAGCCGGAUGUGGUACGGCACGCUGCACUGCACCACACCGUUGCGUUGUCGUCGUCGUCGUCGUCGACAGGCUGCCCGACAGGCAGAAAUAAAAACGGCCAUGUUUGUUUGUUUAGCUCCGCCUUAUUCUUUCGCUGUUCGCUGUUCAUCUCGGCACAACCAACAACAACCAACAUCAUCAUCACCAUCAUCAUUGCCUAUCAGUUCAGUAGAAGCGGCAGCAGCAGAACGACUUUCGGAGGGAUGUACUGCUAGCUAAGCUGGCUGGCUAUGGCUACAUACACAAACACGGCACACGGUCCCGCAUCUCGUUGUCGCUGCUGUGGCACAGGCACACACAAUACCGGAAAGCUUAUGGUGCUUCAAAGCGUUGUUUUUGAACAUCUUAGAAGAAUCUCUUAUACGAGCAAAAGAAAGAAUUUUAAUUCUACUACUAUACACAAAAUAUUCACUUCUGAAAUACAUACAUACAUGUGUACAAAAUAAUAGCAGUGCAAAAUCAAUUUUUUUAACCUUUAAAUUAUUUUUAUGUAUUAUCUACAGUGUGACACAUAUAUAUUCGAACCAAAAUCAUUUUAUGCUUGCAACGGCACACACAAUCAAUACAAUCAAACCCUAGACCCUAAACCGACAUAACACUCAUUUUCCAUUGUUCGUACCGAUUAAACCGUCAUUUCAAAUUUGGGCUUAGUUGGAAAUGUCCCCGUUUUGGUCAAAGCGGCGCUUUUUGACGAAAGAAAGGGAAUUCCCCAUAAAAAAUACUUGCUACUUCGAGGGAUACUCCUGUUGCUAUUUGAUAUUUGGGAAUGUCGAUCAUAGAUGGUGCUAGUGUUCAGGCUAAAUGUGAGGUUCGAUAAUUUUUGUAGAUUUUUCUUGCAAGAGUUACGUCUGUUUGUCUGUGAUCAGACUAAGACCAUGUGUGUGUCAUCAUGACUAGGGUCUUACUUGACGUAGUUUCAUUUUUUUUUAUUUUGUCUCGUUCGUUUGUCACGUACCAUGUUUCAGUUACGGUCGUUGAUAAUAAAUAAAUUUCGAAACGGUGCUACAUGCGGCACUAUUUUUCGCGACCUCAGACAUCUUGGUAUAAAAAGAGAAUUUUUAUGCUAUACAGUAAAAAGACUCGUCGAGACAGGAUCUGUUGAAAACCGCAGAAACCGGAAGAAUAUAAAGGGUUAGAACUGCAGAGGUCAAAAAGAUUGUUCAAGAGCGAAUUCAUCGCAGU